Molecule: unclassified non-coding RNA, 378 nt
Filed under: plant metagenome
Description: partial contains 5.8S ribosomal RNA, internal transcribed spacer 2, and large subunit ribosomal RNA
Rfam family: 5.8S ribosomal RNA (bases 1-105)
Source: RNAcentral
GAAAUGCGAUAAGUAAUGUGAAUUGCAGAAUUCAGUGAAUCAUCGAAUCUUUGAACGCACCUUGCGCUCCUUGGUAUUCCUUGGAGCAUGCCUGUUUGAGUAUCAUGAAAUCUUCAAAGUAAAUCUUUUGUUAACUCAAUUGGUUUCUACUUUGGUAUUGGAGGUCUUUGCAGCUUCACACCUGCUCCUCUUUGUUCAUUAGCUGGAUCUCAGUGUUAUGCUUGGUUCAACUCGGCGUGAUAAGUUAUCUAUCGCUGAGGACACUGUAAAAGGUGGCCAAGGUAAAUGCAGAUGAACCUCUUCUAAUAGUCCAUUGACUUGGACAAUACUUUUAUGAUCUGAUCUCAAAUCAGGUAGGACUACCCGCUGACCUUAAGC